RNAcentral lists this ribosomal RNA (497 nucleotides) under uncultured bacterium. Its description in RNAcentral is "partial 16S ribosomal RNA". It matches the Rfam family "Bacterial small subunit ribosomal RNA", at positions 28 to 507 of the family's 1533-position model. The record is from RNAcentral.
GAUGAACGCUGGCGGCGUGCCUAAUACAUGCAAGUCGAGCGAACGGACGAUAAGCUUGCUUCUCUGAUGUUAGCGGCGGACGGGUGAGUAACACGUGGAUAACCUACCUAUAAGACUGGGAUAACUUCGGGAAACCGGAGCUAAUACCGGAUAAUAUUUUGAACCGCAUGGUUCAAAAGUGAAAGACGGUGUUUCUGGCACUUAUAGAUGGAUCCGCGCUGCAUUAGCUAGUUGGUAAGGUAACGGCUUACCAAGGCAACGAUGCAUAGCCGAACUGAGAGGGUGAUCGGCCACACUGGAACUGAGACACGGUCCAGACUCCUACGGGAGGCAGCAGUAGGGAAUCUUCCGCAAUGGGCGAAAGCCUGACGGAGCAACGCCGCGUGAGUGAUGAAGGUCUUCGGAUCGUAAAACUCUGUUAUUAGGGAAGAACAUAUGUGUAAGUAACUGUGCACAUCUUGACGGUACCUAAUCAGAAAGCCACGGCUAACUACGUG